RNAcentral lists this small nuclear RNA (328 nucleotides) under Myotis davidii. RNAcentral describes it as "7SK RNA". It matches the Rfam family "7SK RNA". From Rfam's summary of the family: 7SK was discovered as an abundant small nuclear RNA in the mid-70s but a possible function has only recently been suggested. Lineage: Eukaryota; Metazoa; Chordata; Mammalia; Chiroptera; Vespertilionidae. The record is from Rfam by way of RNAcentral.
GGAUGUGAGGGCGAUCUGGCUGUGACAUCUGUCACCCCACUGAUCACCAGGGUUGAUUCAGCUGAUCUGGCUGGCUGGGCAGGUGUCCCUUCCUCCCUCUGAUCCAUGUGCAUCCCUCCCAAAGCUGCCGCCAGCACUCAGUUGAAGAGGAUGACCUUCCCCCAGAGGAGAAGACUGGUUUUCAGUCCAGGGUAUAAAGUAGCUGCACUCCCUGCCCCUGCUAGAACCUGCAAACAAACUCUCCAAGUGGCUGCGCCAUUUUACAUUCCCUAGCAGGCAUGAAAGUUUUGAAUUCUCCACAUUCUCACCAAUACUUGUUAUUAUCUGA